Long non-coding RNA from Olea europaea var. sylvestris, 1642 nucleotides. RefSeq lists it as uncharacterized. The transcript is spliced from 3 exons. The record is from RefSeq and is a predicted model, not a curated record. Lineage: Eukaryota; Viridiplantae; Streptophyta; Magnoliopsida; Lamiales; Oleaceae.
AGAUCUGUCAUUACAUUAUAUUAAUUAUAUAUUAAAAGUAUUUACGUCCAAUGUUGAUUGGAUUUAGGGCAUAACACUUACAGUUGUCCAAAAAGAGAAUACAGUUGCGUGCAGACAAUUUUUGAAAUAUCUGGCUAAGGAUAUUUAGAUGAAAAAUAGGACUGAUUGGACUGUGAUGACAGAUAGGCAAAAGGGACUAAGUAAUGUUAUUGGUAAGUUACAUCUGAAGACAGAGAAUGGGUUAUGUAUCAGACACAUGUACACAAGCUUUUUCAAUAAGGGAUAUAAGGGCAAGACAUUGAAGAACUUGCUUUGGCAAGCUGCUAAGUCAACUACAUUAGCUGACUGCAGACAUGGAUGCAACAAAUUCGUCAAGUUAGUGAAGAAACUUAUAAAUGACUGAUGGAGAGGCCUCCGACCGAGUGGAGUAAAUCUCAUUUCAGGACACGUUUAGAAAGUGAUAUUUUAUUGAAAAACUUGUGCGAAGUUUCUAAUAAGAUGCUGAUAGAUGAUAAGAAGAAGAUGAUUGUAACGAUGCUAACAGAUAUGGAGUUGGAGUUUAUGACCAUGAUUGAGAAUCGUCAAAGUAAGGUAAGGAUGUACGGAGGGCAAUUGUUUUCAAGAAUAAAAAAGCUUGCUAAGAUAGAUGAGAUGUCCAACGAAUGCAUAUUUCAUUUUUUAGGAAGGCCUAAAUGGCAGGUAGAUUGUAGGUUAGGGACAUAUGUCAUUGACUUGGAAGAGCAGAGUUGCGUAUGUAGGAGGUGGGACUUGAUGGAAUACCAUGUAGUCUUGCCGUAGUCAUCAUACGGAAGUGUAGAAAAAAACCUGAGUAUAUGGUCAACUGCUACACAGUGGAUAUGUCUCUGAGAUGCACUGAUAAUAUUAUGAAUCCAAUUAAUGGGAUACGAUUGUGACCCUAGCUAGACACUCUACGUCUCUACCCAUCAUGCCAUCUUCAUGGACUCCUCAGCAAUGGGAAAGAAAGCAAAAGAGAAGAAGGAGACAAGCGGACAAAGAUAUUAUCUCACUAAGGGAAAUCGCAUGUUAAGAGAAAAUGAAAAGUAUCGAUGACAUGCUCAAUAUGUGAAUUACAUGGUCACAAUAAAAGGACUGGUACGAAGGACAAUUGUAGCCAGUUGAUUGGAAAUGGCACGCGCCAGGAGAUUUAAGGAGACACAAAAAACUUCUUCCCGACCAAGGCAAUGGAGCUAGUUCGAGCCAAAUACAUGAGGAAGUUUAUAGCUUUCAAUUCACGCCCACUCUCGACGUCGAGCAGCAAUCUGAAACUGUUGUUGCGAGUGAUGGGCCAGCUGCUCAUGUCCCUACUGUUGAUUAUACGAAUGUGGAGCAUCGUUAGACACACAAGUAUGGACUGAGCAAAUCCAACUUCUAGAAAUGGAUGAUGACUUCACACAACAACAAUAGCAAAUGCUACGGGACGUGGCUGGACAUCCAAUUUUUAUAGGCAGCAUGAAUCUCUUUGUGUAGUGUUUGAUGUAUUUUUGUGCUGGUUGCUGCUUGUUUAGGUAAUGAACUUAGGAAACUGGUGUGGAUGUUGUUUGUACUGCUGGUUUUUAUUUAUUAUUUAUUUUUUUGCGAAGACAAGAGCAGAUGUGUUUUAUUGAAGACAAUGACUUGAUUA